This is a long non-coding RNA of Oreochromis niloticus (Nile tilapia), 3998 nucleotides long. RefSeq lists it as uncharacterized. NCBI's taxonomy places the organism in Eukaryota, Metazoa, Chordata, Actinopteri, Cichliformes, Cichlidae. The transcript is spliced from 2 exons. The record is from RefSeq and is a predicted model, not a curated record.
CGUUCAUGUUUUUAAAAAAAAAUAUUUAGCCUUAGUUCAUCCAGUUUAGGUUAAUGUGUAGUUUCUCCUUUGCCCUUUGUUUUGUACUGUUAAAACCAGCCUUUAAUAAACGGCUCAUUUUCUGUUAAGUUUAAGUUUUGUUGUCGCGUGUCUGCACUUGGGUCGUCCUCACUUCAGACCGUCAGCUUCCUCGACUGUGACAAUGAAAGGAUUUUUUUAAAUUAAAAACAGCACCAAACAUAGUAAACUUUCUAGUUACAAUGUUUUCUCAUUGCCAAGACUUCUUUCUUGCCAAUGUUUCUUCCAAAGUAAAUAAGAUAAAUGUUUCUUCUGCAUUUCAUCACUACUGGACGUAUACGAAAUUCCAUUUAGAAUCAUCGAUCAUCUUGAACCACCAUGUGGUGUGUACACUGUAGAAGGGGAAAGGACAGAUACAAACAGGCACAUUUGGAUGGAAACAUUUAAAUGAUUUAUUAUUGAUACAAAGCUCAAAAUCACAAGCAACAGACCAAACUGUAAAAGUUAUGAGGUCAUAAAAGAGACAAAAGUACGCACAUGCAGUCUUUGGUGACAGACUCUACUAUGAAAGCUAUCUAUAGAUACAAUGACCUAGAUCACUGGUAAGUGGACUUCAGCCUUAACCUGAAUGUGAUCAUUCCCCAUAUCUAUUUCCUUGGAAGGUAAAUGGGCCUCCCUGUGAAAAGCUUUCAGUCAACUUUGUGUCUGCUUUUCAACGUGUGUCAGCAUGUUGCUGAAGUUGUAGUCGUUGCAGUUGAUCAGUGUAAGUGGGAUUCACCAUAGUUUCAAUAGGAAAACGGCACCAUUUAUAUUUUACAUAAUGUCUGUGAAGUAGAAUAACAAAAAUAACCAUUGGUUGUGACCACUGGAUGUUUACAUACUUGAUAAUCAACUGAUAAUUUCAGUUGUGAUACUGUAUCAACAUCUGGGUUAGGUGGUUGGUCAAUGAAAAAAACGUCUCGAUUUUAGAUACCAGGCUUCUGCCUGUGAUUCCUUAUGUGUUAAAAUGAUUUUCUAAUAUAACCUUUGGGAAAGUGAUUAGAAAAAAUUUCAGUCCAAAUUCGACAAAUUCUGUGUACUUGAGGGUGCUGUAACUCAUAAUAUGGAAGUGAAAUUUUGCAUUGUGAAAAUAAAAAAAGUUUAGUGUGAGGGGUCAGCUUUGAACUCUGUUUCAGAUUAAAACUUUAUAUAAAGAUGAAAAUGUUGAAUUAGCGGUAUAAGCUAACAUGUUAAAUAAAUUCAAAUCCUGAAUGUGUCUAUGAAUAGGUGUCAACAAGCAAUGAGUUAACGAGCUUAGCCUGCACUAACCUGCCUGGUCUUUUACUGCAACCUGUGAGAAACAUACUUUUUCAAGCUCUAAAAUGAAUGAAGACAUUACAUGAAAGGUUUAAAUUUCACAUGCUGAGUAAUUCCUACUUAUUGAAAACAACCUCUACUCUCCUCUUUUUUUUUUUUUCACAUCUUUCUCCAUCUCUAAUAAUGUCACAGUGACAUCUGCACCAUGAUCACAGGGAUGAGAAGGAGAAGAGGACAGGAGUAACUGGCCUGUGGAUUUUUAUGUGUGCGAUAAUUUUCUAAUUAUUUUCUUGUUGUUGAGGAAUUAUCUCCAUGUCAUCACCCAAAGCAACACUAGGUUGCAGCACGUAAAAAAAAAAUCAACAGUAAUACGCAUUUAUCUGCCCGUCAGAUUUAAUUGCACAUUAACUGAAGGGGCUAGUUUUGUGCCAAAGGGAUUGGCAGCAUUUAAACUACUGUAAAUGGCUUUUCAAACAUACUUGUCAUGAAUGAAGUCAUCAGUCAAGAUAUUUUAAGUGACCAAGAAGAACUGAUUGACAUAAUGUAUCACGGUAAUGAGACAUAAUAAAAACAGCAACAUUUAAUCACUAUCCAAUCAGCAUUCCUAAAAAGAGUAAUACUUCAUGCUUGUUCAGUGAGAAAUAGAAAUGAGGCUUAAAUAAAUGUAAUAAUUUUCAGUAAGUGUAAUAAAGUCCAGCCACUCUGUGAUUUCAAAUUCACUCCCACAUACAAAGACCUGGAGAGGGGCACAUUCUCAGGUCAUAUUAGUUUCGGAGACUAAACUAAACUUAGCAUCAGAGAAUGGUUUAAAGGUUUUGGGGGAUUUUGUGGGAAAUCACUUGACUGUUCGAUCCCUGGAUGUGUGAAGCUCUUGUAGAAAGUCUUUGUUGCUUUUGCAGCUUUGCUAGUAAAGGUUCAGAUGUGCGUUCCGACUGAGUCCGUCAAGUUCUUGUAUUUCUCUGCGUCUUUACUCUCGUACAGGUGAUUCAAACUGUAUUCCUUAAACUGAGCAACCAGCCUACCUACUACUCUUUUUAUUGUGAAGCAGGCCGGUCUGGGAUACUGGUGCCAUACUAGUGGGUUAAUACAUAACCUGCAGACAAAGGUCAGAAAAAGAUUCCAUAAAAUGCUGCUCUAGUUUUUUCUCUUAUGAUAAUAUUCCUCUUAUAUCUGAAGAUUUCCCAAUCUUCUCACUUUUUAAAUUACUGACAUCAUAUGAGCCAUAUCAGUUAAACAUUCGACUUAAUCCUAUUUAACUUAACAGGACUUAACUUAAUGUUUUUAUGCAAUAGAUACAAGCACCUGCAUAGAUUAUGACUAGUCUGAUGGUUAGAUGAAAUAAAAGAGGGCAUGUGCUUGAAUUCUUAGUUUUAUGAUCUGCUUUAUAUCCCUAAAGUUGCAGCUGAAAGAGGUAAUGUUUCUCACUUGUUACUUUUACUUUGCGGACAGUAACCUCUUUAUAUCAGCUAAUUAAGCUAAUUAAGACUACAAAGCUAUGGAGAACAUCACAAGUCUUAUCAAUGAUUGGUCCUAUGGACGAGACACAUCAUCCAACAAUACUGUGGGUGUUGUGAGAAAUCCUGACUUGGGUGCAGGAAUUCUUCUGGGUUACACCCUCCUCGGAGUUGCCACCUAUACCUGGGCCUUCUGGUAUCAACGUGACGGACUUGUUCUUCUUAAAAGAAGCUGGUGGAUGCCCUACUCAUGCCACCAAUUCAACUCCAGAGGUGUUCACAACAUCCACGGACCUCUUAUCUCUGUGAUUUCCAUGGAUAUUAUAAAUGUAAUCACAGCAAUAAUCUUGGGAGGUCAGAUGGCUGCUUCUGCCUGCAACUUGAAAUACUGUGUCUACACUGUUCUUAUAUGUUUUAUAUCACGAUGGUUUGGAGUGAUUUUCCAUCUCCUAACUGCCUAUUUUUCGAUUGUUUACCUCUGCAACCCACAACAGGAAACUAAAAUACGCUGUACCUUUGCAAUUAUUUACUUAAUCAUGUGUACUCUGAUCCCAUUUUAUACGUUCUUCAUCCAGUGGGCAGCAUACAUGAUGGCAAUUUUUACUUUAGGAUUGGUUCUGGGUAUUGCUGCAAAAUUUAGAGUGCCACCUGAAUUACCUUCUGCUGCCACAGAGAAGGACCUGAUUGGGAUUCUUGCAAUGUGCACUUUCUUAGUUGUUUUCUUACCCAGUUUUAUUCUUGAAUGCUUAAUUUAUAGCACUGACAACAGGAAGGUGACAGACGAGUACGAUGCAAUUUAUGUGAAUGUUUUGUUUUUCACUAACUGUCACCUGAUUAUGAAUGGACUUCUGUGUUGCUUAAUCCUGAAGUUGUCUGCUGCUGAAGAAGAGCGACAACAGCAGUGGGAGCUACAACUACAACAACAACCUUAGCAGGAGCAGGAGCAGCGACAUUAGGAUUUUGAAGGUCAAUGGUUUGCUGUUUUUGCAAAUGUAAUCAGUAAUAGGCUCGCAGCUCUUAACUCAUGUAUCUUUGCUAUUCAGGCUUUAACUAUCUGUGUCUGUGGACAUCAUUGUUUUCCUUCUUUAAACUUAUUUGACAUUAUUUGUUAAAUAGGAGGCAAGGGCUUAAGCAAAGGUUGAUUUGUGUCAGUAUUUUGUAGAUGGCUGUACUUCCUGUCUUAUUCAUCUUAACAUGAAUGUAAUAAAGGAAUGAUCAUCACCAUUGUAA